This 489-nucleotide ribosomal RNA is filed under the name uncultured bacterium. RNAcentral's name for it is "partial 16S ribosomal RNA". It matches the Rfam family "Bacterial small subunit ribosomal RNA", at positions 30 to 507 of the family's 1533-position model. The record is from RNAcentral.
UUGAACGCUGGCGGCAGGCCUAACACUUGCAAGUCGAACGGUAACAGGAAACAGCUUGCUGUUUCGCUGACGAGUGGCGGACGGGUGAGUAAUGUCUGGGAAACUGCCUGAUGGAGGGGGAUAACUACUGGAAACGGUAGCUAAUACCGCAUAACGUCGCAAGACCAAAGAGGGGGACCUUCGGGCCUCUUGCCAUCGGAUGUGCCCAGAUGGGAUUAGCUAGUAGGUGGGGUAACGGCUCACCUAGGCGACGAUCCCUAGCUGGUCUGAGAGGAUGACCAGCCACACUGGAACUGAGACACGGUCCAGACUCCUACGGGAGGCAGCAGUGGGGAAUAUUGCACAAUGGGCGCAAGCCUGAUGCAGCCAUGCCGCGUGUAUGAAGAAGGCCUUCGGGUUGUAAAGUACUUUCAGCGGGGAGGAAGGGAGUAAAGUUAAUACCUUUGCUCAUUGACGUUACCCGCAGAAGAAGCACCGGCUAACUCCGUG